AGUGAAGGCCAGGCUGAAGACUUUGCCGGAUUAGCUGAGAGGUGGUGCAUGGCCGUCGUCAGUUCGUACUGUGAAGCAUCCUGUUAAGUCAGGCAACGAGCGAGACCCACGCCCACAGUUGCCAGCGUACUCUCCGGAGUGACGGGUACACUGUGGGGACCGCCGCUGCUAAAGCGGAGAGGAAUGGGCAACGGUAGGUCAGUAUGCCCCGAAUAUCCCGGGCUACACGCGAGCUACAAUGGUUGGUACAAUGGGUAUCUACCCCGAAAGGGGACGGAAAUCUCCUAAAACCAAUCUUAGUUCGGAUUGAGGGCUGCAACUCGCCCACAUGAAGCUGGAAUCUGUAGUAAUCGCGUCUCAACAUGGCGCGGUGAAUAUGUCCCUGCUCCUU
This 391-nucleotide ribosomal RNA is filed under the name uncultured Methanosaeta sp. RNAcentral describes it as "bacterial SSU rRNA". It matches the Rfam family "Archaeal small subunit ribosomal RNA", at positions 946 to 1338 of the family's 1478-position model. Lineage: Archaea; Methanobacteriati; Methanobacteriota; Methanomicrobia; Methanotrichales; Methanotrichaceae. The record is from RNAcentral.